This 497-nucleotide ribosomal RNA is filed under the name uncultured bacterium. Its description in RNAcentral is "partial 16S ribosomal RNA". It matches the Rfam family "Bacterial small subunit ribosomal RNA", at positions 28 to 507 of the family's 1533-position model. The record is from RNAcentral.
GAUGAACGCUGGCGGCGUGCCUAAUACAUGCAAGUCGAGCGAACAGAUGAGGAGCUUGCUCCUCUGACGUUAGCGGCGGACGGGUGAGUAACACGUGGAUAACCUACCUAUAAGACUGGGAUAACUUCGGGAAACCGGAGCUAAUACCGGAUAAUAUAUUGAACCGCAUGGUUCAAUAGUGAAAGACGGUGUUGCUGUCACUUAUAGAUGGUUCCGCGCCGCAUUAGAUAGUUGGUAAGGUAACGGCUUACCAAGGCAACGAUGCGUAGCCGACCUGAGAGGGGGAUCGGCCACACUGGAACUGAGCCACGGUCCAGACUCCUACGGGAGGCAGCAGUAGGGAAUCUUCCGCAAUGGGCGAAAGCCUGACGGAGCAACGCGGCGUGAGUGAUGAAGGUCUUCGGAUCGUAAAACUCUGUUACUAGGGAAGAACAGAUGUGUAAGUAACUAUGGACGUCUUGACGGUAACUAAUCAGAAAGCCACGGCUAACUACGUG